GAUCAUUAAAGAAAUUUAAUAAUUUUGAAAAUGGAUUUUUUUGUUUUGGCAAGAGCAUGAGAGCUUUUACUGGGCAAGAAGACAAGAGAUGGAGAGUCCAGCCGGGCCUGCGCUUAAGUGCGCGGUCUUGCUAGGCUUGUAAGUUUCUUUCUUGCUAUUCCAAACGGUGAGAGAUUUCUGUGCUUUUGUUAUAGGACAAUUAAAACCGUUUCAAUACAACACACUGUGGAGUUUUCAUAUCUUUGCAACUUUUUCUUUGGGCAUUCGAGCAAUCGGGGCCCAGAGGUAACAAACACAAACAAUUUUAUYUAUUCAUUAAAUUUUUGUCAAAAACAAGAAUUUUCGUAACUGGAAAUUUUAAAAUAUUAAAAACUUUCAACAACGGAUCUCUUGGUUCUCGCAUCGAUGAAGAACGCAGCGAAAUGCGAUACGUAAUGUGAAUUGCAGAAUUCCGUGAAUCAUCGAAUCUUUGAACGCACAUUGCGCCCCUUGGUAUUCCAGGGGGCAUGCCUGUUUGAGCGUCAUUUCCUUCUCAAACAUUCUGUUUGGUAGUGAGUGAUACUCUUUGGAGUUAACUUGAAAUUGCUGGCCUUUUCAUUGGAUGUUUUUUUUCCAAAGAGAGGUUUCUCUGCGUGCUUGAGGUAUAAUGCAAGUACGGUCGUUUUAGGUUUUACCAACUGCGGCUAAUCUUUUUUUAUACUGAGCGUAUUGGAACGUUAUCGAUAAGAAGAGAGCGUCUAGGCGAACAAUGUUCU
RNAcentral lists this unclassified non-coding RNA (755 nucleotides) under Saccharomyces cerevisiae (brewer's yeast). RNAcentral's name for it is "sequence contains 18S rRNA gene, ITS1, 5.8S rRNA gene, ITS2, 28S rRNA gene". The record is from RNAcentral. Lineage: Eukaryota; Fungi; Ascomycota; Saccharomycetes; Saccharomycetales; Saccharomycetaceae.